UCACCUUCACCCUGCUGCAAGGAUUGCUUAUCUUCAGCAACUCCAGCAGGUGUUACAGAGAAAUGUUUCUGAUCCAGGCCUGAGCCUUUGGCAGUGUCGGGCUGCCCACCUGACUCUUCCAAGGCGACAGUGGGUGAGAAUUCUGCCCGAGGAGUAGAGAGAAGCCUUAGGCUCUUUGGGCUGCCUUUGCUGUCCUCUGCAGGGCGUGGACAGAAUCCCAUUAGCAAGAAGCAAAAUAACUGAUGCUGAUUGUAAAUGGCUUUUUAGCUUAGUGUAUUUUAAGUCUCUGUCAGUGUAUUUGAAGAGUAUUUGUUUUAGGGAAUGGCAGCUUAUGCAGAGGAUCACCAAACUAUAACAUAGAAAUGAAUUUAUUUCAGUAACAGACACUAAUAUCUAUUUUAAUUUCCCCAUGGAUUUCCAGUGUAUAUGACUAAAAUAUUAUAUUGUUAAAAAUGAGAGGAAAACAACACAAAGGUGUUUGUAAGUAUGUUCUAUUUCUAGACUUAAGGCUGUAUUAUGUUGGAAUUUUACAAGCCAAGUUUAAAUUGUAAUAUAGAAAUUAUUUUUAUAUUAUUUUCAAAAUACGCUACAGAGCAAUAUUUUGCGCCUUUAUUAUAAACAGGGUCAUCAUUUUAGUAGGUUACUUUUAGAAAUGCUGGUAGAAAUUAACCAUGGAAAGAAAGCUUUGUAAAUGUACUUGUUGUUUCUAACUGCUCUGUCUAUUGUGCACAUCUGUAUCUAAUGUGAGUUGAAUAUACAAUUUUUUUUUUAAUUGAAAAGCUUUAAAUUUUUCUUUAUAUAUUUUGGUACAACACUGUUCCUCUCUAAUUCUCUUCCAGUCCUAACCAAUAGUCACUUUUAUAAGCAGCUUCUGAAUAAACAUGCAUAUGGAAAAUUUCCUUACCAAAUGAAACAUUUCUGCACAGAUAUUGAUUGACGUGGGACAUUCAUAACACACCCUGAACCCAUUGGAGUAGGAUUCAUUUGCUUUUUUUAAAAAGAGAAUCAGCUAUUUAUUAUUCCUUCGGAAUGAAAAUCAAGAAUGAAUGCAAUCAUUCCGUAUCUGGAGUAAAAAAAAAUCAUUCUAGAUCAUAGAAAUUUCAUCCUCUUAAUAUGUAUCAAGUAUGCAUUGGCUUCUUGCAGAUUGAAGUGUUCAGAUUUUAUUUCUUCACAGUUCUUUGUACUGUACAUAUCAAUUACUGAUGAACUGUGCAAAGAAAAAGACUUCACAAACUAAUGCAUAUGUUAAAUUAGAAGUCUGUGUUAUUUGUAAAACUCCCUAACUUUUGCAGUUUAGUUUGUUGGGAUUUGUUGUUUAAGGAUUACUAUUAAAGUAUUUACUGCAACCAAAAUUUUCAAACCUGGAUACCUAAUGAUUGCGCAUCUGGGUUUCUCCUGAUCGAUACACUGGUUUUAAGGUGUCCUGAGCAUCAGUUUGUGUGGGAAGAAAGGUUCCCUCUUGGUUUCAGAAAAUCAUUUGAGUGUUACUCCAACACAUAUUCAGGUCUUUUCCUUAUUAACACUCUACACUUCUUUUCAGUCAGUGGAAUUUGCAUUUUAUCUUUAGUGACCUUCCAUGUGUGAACAAAUAAUUUGGCUUAUUCAUAAAUGAUUGUUUUGAGGAUGGAGAGACUUGCCUUGUACCAAAACACCACAUAAUUGUUUAACUGUUGCAUUAUUAAUGGGGCUCUUUUAUUCCACUGCAGGGGUGGGGAAAUAAGACCUUAUUUUUUCCUUGGGUAUCGUGAUCCUAUUAUUUGUCUGGUUGGGUUAUUCCUCUGAAGUGAAAAUGCUGUUCUGAUUGCUGUUUUCCGAUGUUCUGUCUCCCAGUACCUGAAUGCCUGUACUGUACCAAGAGAAUUGAAAUGGCUGAUGCACAUUUGCACUGCUGAACAGCCAUGUGGGCUAAGCCACCGUGUUCCAAACAGCCUUAAAAUUACGGCUCUCUGGGGACUGAGAGUCACUUAACUGGAUGCAGCCUCUGUCCUGCUUCCUCAUUUAACCAUGACUGUAAAACUUUCAAGCCUGCUGUAGUCUGUGUGUCUCUAGACACAUUCAUCUGAAUACCCUGUGAUCUUAACAGAAUUUUUUCUUUAAAAACUAGUGAUUCUUUGAUGAGUGUUAGUGUGUCAGGAAACCCUAAUCAAGAGAGGAGAUGGAGUUAAACUAGAGAAAUUAUUGUAGCUAGUGGAGGAACCAGGGCACCAAAAUACUAAAAAGGGAGAAAAUAGUUAAGAUGUAUCACAACUUAUUUCCUGUUAACACUGUAUGUUUUGUAGAUCUUCCUGUAUUCUGGGAAACAGAAAAAUGUUUUUGCCAUUCAUCUCUGCAUCUAAUGGAGCCUCUUGCUUUGUUGUAGAGGUUUGCUAUUGGGGAAGAAGGGAGAAAGGGAAGUUCUCCUCCCUUCUUAAAGAAAAUUCUAGGGGCAGAAUCAUCUGAGGUUGCAAAAAUAUGAUCCAAUGUUGUAAUUAAAUAGUGCCUAACUCUUAUGUGCAUUCUGUAUUUAAUUUCCAUUUUGCCACUUUCAAACACCAUUGAUUUAGAAAAAUAAGGAGGGGGAAGUUAAGAGACUAAGUUGGUAUGUUAAUGACCCAGUUAUUCCUUUUUUCACAUGUGGAAUCUAUAUAAACAUGAAAAGAGUCACACUUGAGUUGCACUUCCCCUGCUGAGAGGUAAAAGCCACCUUUAUAGGUAAAUUCCAUGCAAUUGCUUUGCCACAGAGUGGCAUGAAGGCUGACAGCAUGUCAGGAGCCUGAGAGCCAUAGCUUGAAACAACAGGUCUUGAUCGUUCUUGCCUUUAACACAGAUGCAGUUCAUUCUGGCCCGUGAUGAACGAACAGUACCUUUGUAGUGAAGAUGCAGUGGAACACUGCCCUGCUGCCAUUUGCUUCCAGGUGUGAGUAACAACAAGCCUCCUCCCCAUUCUUUUGAUUAAAAUAUGCAGGAGAUGCAGCAGCAGGAUGUGGCAUCUCAGGCUCAGAGAAUGCCCCAUAUCUCCUUUAAAUGGGCUUUGCAAUCAGGUAUGAAUUGAAACACAGCCAUGUGGGCGCAACAGAAGCGCUCUCAUCUCUCAGCUUUGAAAAUCGUGUGCACUUUUAAUACUAACAAAAACUAAGAAAUGGUUUUAUUGUUUAUUUGCUCAAGAUUCUGAGUACUGUAAAUGCAGUCUUUGUAUCAUGCACAGUGUGUGUACAGUACAGAAAUGCUUUUCCCUCAGAGCUGUUAGAGAGUUUUGAAUGCACAUGGUGCCCAACUCUGCCCCCUCACCAUAGCCAAGGGGAGCAAACAGGAUUUAGGCCUAGACUAAAUAAUGGAUGAAAUCAGCCACAUAGAUCUAAACAGCUGCAAGUUCCCAACCGUGGUGUUCUAGGCCAGCUUUGACAGCUUUGUACAAAACUCCAUCCCAAUGACUGAGAUUAGGUUUGUGCUCUUUCCUGGGGAGGAGCAAUUACUUCUGUGUUUUUUCCAAGCCCAUUGCUCUGAGUCUCUAACUCCUGUGUUUGUAAUGUGCCAGGCUUAGCAUGAUUCACCUAGGAAGCAGUUUUUAAAAUCUCCAUAGAUUUGUUGUUUUCUUCUUGGAAUCCAUCUUGAGUUUUACUUUGCAUUCAGUUUUAAGACAUAAAAUAUUGUUAUGAACUUUGCAUAAUGCCUUGAAUUUGUCUCUUGUGGGAUUGAAGGACUUUGUUCUCCUUGAGAGGCCUUGUUCUUCCUCACUGAUUCUUGUGACUAACACUUUUGUAUGGAAAAAGUUGAAUGAACCAUUGAAAGUAUCACUGCUGCUUACAUGUACUUCUGCCAUUUGGUACAUCUUGUGUUGUUAAAACUCAAUGCCUCUCAGACAUGGGCAAAGCUUGAAGGACAGUCUGAAGUAUUAGAUACAAAAGGUAUAUGUAGUUAAUUCAUCAGAACUCUACUGUUGCUAUUGUGUAAUAUGCCCCCUCCAAUUGUUUGUACAUCUUUUUUCCUAUUGCUAACUUUUUUUAAAAUCUUCUAUUUUCUUAGACAAAUUCUAAAGCUCUUUGUCCUUAAAGCCUGUGAUAGAUUUUCCAAUAAAGAAGAUUUGGCUUUUGCAGUUCAGGUUGCAUUUAGAGUGGCUUUUCUCCCAAACAAUAAUUACAAGUAACAGAUGUUGCACCUUUGGCUUAAAGAAGUAUAUUUACUCAUUAACUGAGAGUCUCUGUUCAAUUAUAACCAAAGCUAAUUAUAUAAAAUUUAAAGUGUCAGGACUGGUAAUGUGACUCUACCUAGCAAACUCAGCAUUUUUAACCCAUAGAAAUGUACAAUAAACGUGUUUGUACUUGAAGUCCAUUUCAAAGAAGGUAGUUGGCUCUCACUGGGGCUUAAGAAAAUGUUAAUAAGGAAUAAAGUAAGUCUCAUUGAUUUUGGUUGGCUGAGAAUUCAACUUCUUCGUAGUCUUACCACUCUUCUCAUUUUUCAGAAUCUGAGUUUGUUGUUGCCUUCUAUAAGUUUAUACUCUUUUAGCAAAUGUUGACUUAGGCUUUCAAUAAACUAUGUAAUAGGAAUUACAGAAAUUUAUUUAUAGCUGAAAUUACUCUUCAGGUUUUUUGUUUGAUCAUUUUCAUGCAAAAAGGGAUGAAUUUGUCUUUUCCCAUUUCUCCACCCUAUUUAUAAUUUCAAAACACAAUUGGUUGCAGUCACCUUUCUCUGCAAAAGAAAACAGUUGAUAAUUUUUAAGCUGACUACCAUAUUGUUUGAAUCCACUGUUCAAAAGAAACAGGAGCAUUAAUUAACAUUCAAGAAUAAGGAAUAUUUCUUGUUGUGCAAAAUGUGAGUUCUUGAGAACCUUUUCUACAUGCAGUUUUCAUUUAACUUGAAUGUCAUUUUUAAUCUGAUCCAUACUUUGACAAAGAUGAUGUGUAAGAGCUGUUUUUAGCAGUUGGAUUGUUACUUUGUAAAGUAUUAAAGCACUAAACCAAUUUUUGCAAUAGGUAGUAAAACUUGCUUUUGUUUUGAAAAACUUCCAGUUAUAACUGUUGCACUUUUUAUAGCAGAACUGUAUUUAAUUUCUUUCUUUUAUGAAAGAUUACUCAAAGUAACUGAUAGCUCUGUAAUCUGUGUGAAUUGGCUUCUCCAUUAUUUGAAUCUGAGAGAAGCUACAAUGCCUAUUCAAUAAAAUUAACUUAUU
Molecule: long non-coding RNA, 5146 nt
Organism: Taeniopygia guttata (zebra finch)
Lineage: Eukaryota; Metazoa; Chordata; Aves; Passeriformes; Estrildidae
Source: Ensembl